UACGUAGGGGGCAAGCGUUGUCCGGAUUUAUUGGGCGUAAAGAGCGUGUAGGCGGUCAGGUAGGUCCGUUGUGAAAACUCGAGGCUCAACCUCGAGACGCCGAUGGAAACCAUCUGACUAGAGUCCGGAAGAGGAGAGUGGAAUUCCUGGUGUAGCGGUGAAAUGCGCAGAUAUCAGGAAGAACACCCGUGGCGAAGGCGGCUCUCUAGUACGGUACUGACGCUGAGACGCGAAAGCGUGGGGAGCGAACAGG
This 253-nucleotide ribosomal RNA is filed under the name uncultured bacterium. RNAcentral's name for it is "partial 16S ribosomal RNA". It matches the Rfam family "Bacterial small subunit ribosomal RNA", at positions 524 to 776 of the family's 1533-position model. The record is from RNAcentral.